AGUUAAACUUUUCCUGGUGGGAAAUAAGAAUGAUCUGGAAGACAAAAUCCCCAAAGACAAGGUUCGGAGAUUUGCACAGGAACAUAAAAUACAGUCAGUUUUCAAACUGUCAGCUAAAACAGGAAAAAAUGUAGAGGAGAGCUUGCAGAAAAUUGUGGAAUCUUCCUUUCCUGAGACAAAACUACCAGAUGUGAUACCUCUUGAAUCAUGUGAGACUUCAGGUUCAGGGUUAUGUCACUGCUGACCUCUCUACCAUCAACGUGAAGAGAAAAGUUGAGGAGUCACAGAUUGUUACAUAUUAUCCACCUAAAAGAUGGCAAAAAGACUUUAGCGCAUGUAGACCUGGGACUCAAGAAAUUGCAUUCACAGAAGUACUCAAGUAUGCAGAUUAUGGAUAUGCUGUUCUUCAUGAAGGACAACAUCUCUAAGCCAUAUUUUACACGGGAUGCUAAGAAGUUGCUGAAUUCUGGAAAACUUCCUACAAAAUCCAGCAGCAUUUGCCAAUAAGUAAAAUCGGUGGUAGUAUUAUAGUUAACGGAACUUCACAUCAUUAAAUCUACAUUCUUAAAGCCAAAAGUUUCAAAUGCAGCAUUCUAUACAUGUGAAAAGGGCAAUCACAAAAUAUUUCCAUGUCCUUUCCUUAGAAUCACUGCUGAUCAUAGAAUAAGAAUAUACAUGUUCGACUGGGGUUAGGAAUAUGUUCUCCAUAUUCAGAAUGCUUAAACUGCAUCUGUUGACUUUUUGGUGCAUACUGAAAGCUAAUUGUUUUUUACCAGUUAGCUUUAACAUAAUUCUUCACAGGAACACGAUUUAAUGAACCUAGCAUCUCCAAAAAGUAGUACAUCCAAGUCUCUUCCAUUUAUAAAAUGCAUAUAAUAUGUUUCAUUUUUUUUUCUUUGGUACAUACAGAAAGCUAAUUGUUUUUCACCAUUUACCUUUCACAUAAUUCCUCUGAAAAACAGGAUUUGAUGAACCUAGCUUUUUUAAGACAUCCAGUGUCUACAUCCAAGUGAGUUCAGAUAAAGGAACCCCACCAUCUCUCUGACUUUUUGCCUCUGGUGGCAUUACAAGUUUAUAUGAGGACAUUCCUGUCCUGGCACUAUCCACAAAUUGUAUGAACAGAGACAUUUAUUCAGUGUUUAUGGACAUGGACAAAAUACAGUCAUGCACAGUGAUAGCCUGAGUAAACAGCACAAAAUAGUAUAGUAAUAUACAUAUAUAUUUAAAUGGUCCAGUGAUUGUAGGUAAGUCACGGUUAUUAAACAGACAAAAUACAUUUACAUAUUCACAUCAGUAGCCUUCCACUUUACAAUAUAAGUAUAAUCAUUACAUUAAUUCACAUACAUAUUAGUGAUUUCUUCUACUCUAUAAAUAUGAUCCAUCAUUAAUUAGUUAGGAACUCUUUAAGCUGCAAUCUUAACAUUAAUCAAAAAGAAACCUUUUAGUGGUUGCAGAGCUAAACACCAUAACUUCCUUUUGCAUUUUCAGAUAACUAGUAAACUGUCCAAAAACAUAGUGCAUUAUAUGUAGAUGUCAUUUUUGUUGUAAUGUUUAUUUUACCACUGUUUCUCUAUUGUCGGCAUAGCUCUGUAAAGGGGCUUACCUACCAACAAUACCUAAGGGUAAAUGUUACCAGACCAAUGUCAGUAUGAGUGUUUUGCAUCACUGUACCAUUUAUGAAGUCUGGCUCCAGCCUCAUUUAUGAAGUCUGGCUCCAGCCUCAUAUCUGUACUUGUCAUGUACGCAUUCAUUGCUUCGACAUUCUAUCAGCCUCCUCUGGAGAAGCAAGGGUUAGGAGAUACAGCCUGGGUAAUCACAGUGUGGCCGGUCCUGAGUUUAUUCUUUUAAUCCCUAACUUAUUCACCUAUGUAUCAGGAAUUUUAAAAUGCAUGCUGCUGCAUGCUAGUGAAUGAGAUCCCCGAGGGGUCUCCUUACUGAUUUUAAUUCACCAAAGGUCAAGCCCUUGUUCACUCCACUUGAGGGUGACUCUGCAAAACAAUCCCAUUCCUUCUCUUUUAAGAAAAGAUAACAUGACUCUGCCCAACCACUCCUUCCUGCCAGGACAGCCUGACAGCAACUUGGACCUUAGCUGUACUUGGGUCACCGGCAAUGUGGGUGAAUACCCUGCAUUUAUGACAGUAGACUGUCAUGCCGUCAUGAGGUGUCAUAAAUAAGAGAAGCUGUCUGAAGUUAGUUAACUGCUUUGUACAACUAUGACUAGUACAGCAGCAUUUCUGUAACUUUUUCUAUCUUUGUGAACUAAUGUUCCCUUUAUGAAGAAAUUCACAUUGAAAAAUCAGAUAAGUUAUCUUAACAUUUGCUUCAUGUAGUUAAUGACAAGUUGUUAUUAUAACUGUGCAUAUCCUUACAUGUCAUGGCUAAUGGCUUUCUACCUGCCAGCUACAAAGGUUUCAUUGUUACUAACCAGUUCAGAAAGAACUAAGGCAGAGACCCAAAAAUUAUUCAUUAGCCCUUAAAAUGCAUUCCUUAUAGGAACCUAGAAAACCAAACCUGCCUUCUCUGUGUAUGAGAAUAGCAUUUAAAUUAUUUGUAUCUGUUUUGUUCCUGUGAUAACACACACCUAACAGUGCCAGCUUCGUUAAGAUGAUGGAUUCUCUGACUGCUUAUUUUGCCCAUAUAGUAAGCUGUCUUUCUGUAGCUGGUGCCUAGAAAUAUAUAUUCCUUGUAUAACAAUAAAACUGACUUUGAAUUAGUCUAAAAAGAA
This is a long non-coding RNA of Protopterus annectens (West African lungfish), 2725 nucleotides long. RefSeq lists it as uncharacterized. The record is from RefSeq and is a predicted model, not a curated record. The transcript has 2 exons. Lineage: Eukaryota; Metazoa; Chordata; Ceratodontiformes; Protopteridae.